RNAcentral lists this ribosomal RNA (446 nucleotides) under uncultured bacterium. Its description in RNAcentral is "partial 16S ribosomal RNA". It matches the Rfam family "Bacterial small subunit ribosomal RNA", at positions 329 to 792 of the family's 1533-position model. The record is from RNAcentral.
GGCCAGACUCCUACGGGAGGCAGCAGUGGGGAAUAUUGCACAAUGGGGGGAACCCUGAUGCAGCGACGCCGCGUGGGUGAAGGAGCACCUCGGUGCGUAAAGCCCUAUCGGCAGGGAAGAAACAGACGGUACCUGACUAAGAAGCACCGGCUAACUCCGUGCCAGCAGCCGCGGUAAUACGGGGGGUGCAAGCGUUGUCCGGAAUCAUUGGGCGUAAAGAGUUCGUAGGUGGCAUAUUAAGUCUGGUGUUAAAUACAGAAGCUCAACUUCUGUUCGGCACUGGAUACUGGUAAGCUUGAAUGCGGUAGAGGUAAAGGGAAUUCCUGGUGUAGCGGUGAAAUGCGUAGAUAUCAGGAGGAACAUCGGUGGCGUAAGCGCUUUACUGGGCCGUAAUUGACACUGAGGAACGAAAGCCGGGGUAGCAAAUGGGAUUAGAUACCCGCGUA